UGGUGGAGUGAUUUGUCUGGUUAAUUCCGAUAACGAACGAGACCUUAACCUGCUAAAUAGCCAGGCCGUCUUUGGAUGGUCGCCGGCUUCUUAGAGGGACUGUCAGUGUCUAACUGACAGAAGUUUGAGGCAAUAACA
This 138-nucleotide ribosomal RNA is filed under the name uncultured eukaryote. RNAcentral's name for it is "partial 18S ribosomal RNA". It matches the Rfam family "Eukaryotic small subunit ribosomal RNA", at positions 1299 to 1458 of the family's 1831-position model. The record is from RNAcentral.